Coffea eugenioides is the source of this 1612-nucleotide RNA transcript. RefSeq lists it as uncharacterized. The transcript has 9 exons. NCBI's taxonomy places the organism in Eukaryota, Viridiplantae, Streptophyta, Magnoliopsida, Gentianales, Rubiaceae. The record is from RefSeq and is a predicted model, not a curated record.
AUCGCCGCUUCCUUUUUUCUUUAUUCCCAUCUCGCCUCUUGCUUUUGCUUCUUUUCGCUCUUGUUCCUUUUGGCUCUUUUUAGCUCUUGUUUUCUUGGCCUUCGGUUAAAGUCGCUCUGGUUCCUUUUUGCUUUUUGAUGGAUAGAUCUGAAGUGGAAAAUUUCUGUGAUAAGUUGCUUAAAGAUUGUUAACUUUUUUGAUUGUUUGCUAUCAUCAUGGAGAAGUACAAUGACCAACCUUUUAAAGUUGGGCAACUGGUUGAGGCAAGAUCCUUCAUGAAGGGUUAUCGAGGCGCGUGGUUUCGUUGCAAGAUAGUAGAUACAAAAAGGAGAGAUGGGCACAUCAAUUAUGGAUUGCGUUAUCUUGAUUUUCCAGAUGAAAAGGAUAAACCGAUAAGAUUAUAUCAACUACCUCCAGUUGGACAUAAGAGAAGAAGUAGGGUUGAAAGAGAGUUGAUGCUGCGGCCUCCAUUUCCACCUAUCUACCAUGAGGGUCAAUUGCCUCCUGCCAAUGACACUUCAGAAGUCAUAGUUAUUACUGAAGCUAUUUGGAAUGUGGGUGAUCUUGUCGAUUGGUGGAAGGAUCAAUGUUUUUGGUCUGGAAAAGUUACACAAAUACUAGGCAAUGAAGAAGCCAUGGUUGAGUUGACCCCACCGCCUAUGGGUGAAGGCUCCUCAUAUAAAGCGUCUCUGAUUGAUCUACGCCCAUCUUUAGAUUGGUCACUGGAAGAUGGUUGGAAAUUGCCUGCUCCUAAGGAUGGUGCAAACCAUCGUCAAUGUGCACGACUUGUUGAUCCAGUGAAUCAGUCAGGUGGUAGGUUGGCAUUUGAAAUGCCUGUACAGGGUGAAGGAACAACAGAUGGUGAGGUUGCAUGUGGGUUAUCAUCUGCUCAAUCUCUUUCUUCUCAUGGUGCCGCAAAGUCAUUGCCAGCCUCAGAAAAGACGAAGACCUGUGGGGCAAGUGAGAUGCUGAAAGAAUCUGAGAGUUUUCCAAAGGAGGUGGUGGGCGCACAAGAAGAAAAUGUGAACUUGGUACCAGGGGAUAAUGGCUCUAGGAAAUUAAGUUGUUCAGAUGGUACUUAUCCUCAUGCUAGAGAUGGUUCAGCUGAAGCUGCAGGUCUAUCUCUUGGAGAAGACUUGUCUGAUUCUAGUUCUCCACAGAAGAAGCUGAGAAACAGUAUUGGGCUUCCUUUAAACUCCGCCAGGUCUGACACCCUAGAUGCUCUAAUUUUGGAUUUGGAAGAGCUUGCAAACAAAAUUAAAUGGCUCAAAAUCAUCUUAAAAAGAGGAUACCCUUUGUCCAAUGCUGUGGACACUUCAUGGAUGUUUGUUGAGCACCGUGUGCCUUCAAUGCCUUGGUGACUUCUUGAUAAGGAAGCGUGGUGUGUCUGUCUGGUUUAUGUGCUCGAUUGCAUCAAGGAUCCUUGUUGAUGGAUAGCAGAUGGCCUAAUAAAUAAAUAGGAGUCGAAAUGGAAAGAGUUAUAGAGAAGCCGACUUGAUGCACUUUUGAUCAAGGUUUUGAAUGUAAUUGAUUAGAUGACUUAUGAAAGUUGUAUAUUUUGGAGAAAGUGAUGUAUUUGGUAUCUUGUAAUGUAAAAAUUGAAUAUUUAUUA